UAUUUUUCAAGGAAUUUGUCCAUUUUUUCUCUUGUAGUUUUCAUCAGUUUGCCUACUGUUUAUCAAUUGUACUUAUCUCUUCAAAGAACUAAAAUAUGGAAACACCUGUGGAGCAACCAGAAACCAACACAAAAGACCAGUCCAACUGGACCUGAAGCUGGAAGCCCCAUAGAACAUAGCCUGGAUGAACCAACUCACAGCCAACCUGCAGACCAGGAAUAGGAAGAGAUGAUGGGGUUUGGGGAUAGUUUUUUAAGCAGCUGUAUAUGACUAACUGAUAGAGCUCAUGGGUUUAUAUAGCAAAUUGAUAGAGUUUAUACAUUUUAUUUAACCAACUCCCUACAGAUAGACAAAUUGAAUUAUUCCAAGAAAAGUUUGGUUCAUUUUAAAAAACAUUUCUAUAAGAUCUAUUUCUAGAAGAAUUGCAUCAAAGAGUUGUACUCUUAAACUUUGAAAACAUAUUACUCAAUUAUGCUCACCAAAGCUAUGCUGAUUCACGUUCUUAUCAUCAGUUUAUAAGCAUUUAUUUUUCCUCCUAUCUUCCAACA
This 548-nucleotide long non-coding RNA is filed under the name Marmota monax (woodchuck). Lineage: Eukaryota; Metazoa; Chordata; Mammalia; Rodentia; Sciuridae. The record is from RNAcentral.